Molecule: ribosomal RNA, 315 nt
Filed under: uncultured bacterium
Lineage: Bacteria
Description: bacterial SSU rRNA
Rfam family: Bacterial small subunit ribosomal RNA
Source: RNAcentral
GUCCUGGCGGCGUGCUAUACAUGCAAGUCGAGCGAAUCAAUAGGAGCUUGCUCCUGUUGGUUAGCGGCGGACGGGUGAGUAACACGUGGGCAACCUGCCUGUAAAACUGGGAUAACACCGGGAAACCGGUGCUAAUACCGGAUAAUUCUUUCUCUCUCAUGAGGGAAAGUUGAAAGUCGGCUUCGGCUGACACUUACAGAUGGGCCCGCGGCGCAUUAGCUAGUUGGUGAGGUCACGGCUCACCAAGGCGACUAUACAUACGAGACCUGAGAAGGAUCUCAAACCCUGGGGAUCUGAUACGGUCCAUAUUCUUUA